RNAcentral lists this ribosomal RNA (468 nucleotides) under uncultured bacterium. RNAcentral's name for it is "partial 16S ribosomal RNA". It matches the Rfam family "Bacterial small subunit ribosomal RNA", at positions 28 to 507 of the family's 1533-position model. The record is from RNAcentral.
GAUGAACGCUGGCGGCGUGCUUAACACAUGCAAGUCGAACGGAAAGGCCCAAGCUUGCUUGGGUACUCGAGUGGCGAACGGGUGAGUAACACGUGGGUGAUCUGCCCUGCACUUCGGGAUAAGCCUGGGAAACUGGGUCUAAUACCGGAUAGGACCACGUCUUGGAUGUUGUGGUGGAAAGUUUUUUCGGUGUGGGAUGAGCUCGCGGCCUAUCAGCUUGUUGGUGGGGUAAUGGCCUACCAAGGCGUCGACGGGUAGCCGGCCUGAGAGGGUGUACGGCCACAUUGGGACGGAGAUACGGCCCAGACUCCUACGGGAGGCAGCAGGGGGGAAUAUUGCACAAUGGGCGCAAGCCUGAUGCAGCGACGCCGCGUGGGGGAUGACGGCCUUCGGGUUGUAAACUCCUUUCGCUAGGGACGAAGCGUUUUUGUGACGGUACCUGGAGAAGAAGCACCGGCUAACUACGUG